RNAcentral lists this ribosomal RNA (253 nucleotides) under uncultured bacterium. RNAcentral's name for it is "partial 16S ribosomal RNA". It matches the Rfam family "Bacterial small subunit ribosomal RNA", at positions 524 to 776 of the family's 1533-position model. The record is from RNAcentral.
UACGUAGGGGGCAAGCGUUGUCCGGAAUGACUGGGCGUAAAGGGUGCGUAGGCGGCCGUUUAAGUCCUGUGUGAAAGGUCCCGGCUUAACCGGGGAGCGGCAUGGGAAACUGGACGGCUUGAGUGCCGGAGAGGGUGGCGGAAUUCCCGGUGUAGCGGUGAAAUGCGUAGAGAUCGGGAGGAACACCAGUGGCGAAGGCGGCCACCUGGACGGUAACUGACGCUGAGGCACGACAGCUGGGGGAGCAAACGGG